GACGAACGCUGGCGGCGUGCCUAAUACAUGCAAGACGAACGAACUCUGGUAUUGAUUGGUGCUUGCAUCAUGAUUUACAUUUGAGUGAGUGGCGAACUGGUGAGUAACACGUGGGAAACCUGCCCAGAAGCGGGGGAUAACACCUGGAAACAGAUGCUAAUACCGCAUAACAACUUGGACCGCAUGGUCCGAGCUUGAAAGAUGGCUUCGGCUAUCACUUUUGGAUGGUCCCGCGGCGUAUUAGCUAGAUGGUGGGGUAACGGCUCACCAUGGCAAUGAUACGUAGCCGACCUGAGAGGGUAAUCGGCCACAUUGGGACUGAGACACGGCCCAAACUCCUACGGGAGGCAGCAGUAGGGAAUCUUCCACAAUGGACGAAAGUCUGAUGGAGCAACGCCGCGUGAGUGAAGAAGGGUUUCGGCUCGUAAAACUCUGUUGUUAAAGAAGAACAUAUCUGAGAGUAACUGUUCAGGUAUUGACGGUAUUUAACCAGAAAGCCACGGCUAACUACGUGCCAGCAGCCGCGGUAAUACGUAGGUGGCAAGCGUUGUCCGGAUUUAUUGGGCGUAAAGCGAGCGCAGGCGGUUUUUUAAGUCUGAUGUGAAAGCCUUCGGCUCAACCGAAGAAGUGCAUCGGAAACUGGGAAACUUGAGUGCAGAAGAGGACAGUGGAACUCCAUGUGUAGCGGUGAAAUGCGUAGAUAUAUGGAAGAACACCAGUGGCGAAGGCGGCUGUCUGGUCUGUAACUGACGCUGAGGCUCGAAAGUAUGGGUAGCAAACAGGAUUAGAUACCCUGGUAGUCCAUACCGUAAACGAUGAAUGCUAAGUGUUGGAGGGUUUCCGCUCUUCAGUGCUGCAGCUAACGCAUUAAGCAUUCCGCCUGGGGAGUACGGCCGCAAGGCUGAAACUCAAAGGAAUUGACGGGGGCCCGCACAAGCGGUGGAGCAUGUGGUUUAAUUCGAAGCUACGCGAAGAACCUUACCAGGUCUUGACAUACUAUGCAAAUCUAAGAGAUUAGACGUUCCCUUCGGGGACAUGGAUACAGGUGGUGCAUGGUUGUCGUCAGCUCGUGUCGUGAGAUGUUGGGUUAAGUCCCGCAACGAGCGCAACCCUUAUUAUCAGUUGCCAGCAUUAAGUUGGGCACUCUGGUGAGACUGCCGGUGACAAACCGGAGGAAGGUGGGGAUGACGUCAAAUCAUCAUGCCCCUUAUGACCUGGGCUACACACGUGCUACAAUGGAUGGUACAACGAGUUGCGAACUCGCGAGAGUAAGCUAAUCUCUUAAAGCCAUUCUCAGUUCGGAUUGUAGGCUGCAACUCGCCUACAUGAAGUCGGAAUCGCUAGUAAUCGCGGAUCAGCAUGCCGCGGUGAAUACGUUCCCGGGCCUUGUACACACCGCCCGUCACACCAUGAGAGUUUGUAACACCCAAAGUCGGUGGGGUAACCUUUUAGGAACCAGCCGCCUAAGGUGGGACAGAUGAUUAGGGUG
RNAcentral lists this ribosomal RNA (1489 nucleotides) under Lactiplantibacillus plantarum. RNAcentral describes it as "bacterial SSU rRNA". It matches the Rfam family "Bacterial small subunit ribosomal RNA". The record is from RNAcentral. Lineage: Bacteria; Bacillati; Bacillota; Bacilli; Lactobacillales; Lactobacillaceae.